CUGGCGGCGUGCUUAACACAUGCAAGUCGAACGAUGAAGCGGUGCUUGCACCGUGGAUUAGUGGCGAACGGGUGAGUAAUACGUGAGUGACCUACCUUUGACUCUGGGAUAAGCCUGGGAAACUGGGUCUAAUACCGGAUACGACCAAUCUCUGCAUGGGGUGUUGGUGGAAAGCGUUAUGGAGUGGUUUUAGAUGGGCUCACGGCCUAUCAGCUUGUUGGUGAGGUAAUGGCUUACCAAGGCGACGACGGGUAGCCGGCCUGAGAGGGUGACCGGCCACACUGGGACUGAGACACGGCCCAGACUCCUACGGGAGGCAGCAGUGGGGAAUAUUGCACAAUGGGCGCAAGCCUGAUGCAGCGACGCCGCGUGAGGGAUGACGGCCUUCGGGUUGUAAACCUCUGUUAGCAUCGAAGAAGCGAAAGUGACGGUAGGUGCAGAGAAAGCGCCGGCUAACUACGUGCCAGCAGCCGCGGUAAUACGUAGGGCGCGAGCGUUGUCCGGAAUUAUUGGGCGUAAAGAGCUUGUAGGCGGUUGGUCGCGUCUGCUGUGAAAGGCCGGGGCUUAACUCCGGUUUUGCAGUGGGUACGGGCUAACUAGAGUGCAGUAGGGGAGACUGGAAUUCCUGGUGUAGCGGUGGAAUGCACAGAUAUCAGGAGGAACACCGAUGGCGAAGCAGGUCUCUGGGCUGUAACUGACGCUGAGAAGCGAAAGCUUGGGACCAACAGGAUUAGAUACCCUGGUAGUCCAUGCCGUAAACGUUGGGCACUAGGUGUGGGGACAUUCCACGUUUUCCGCGCCGUAGCUAACGCAUUAAGUGCCCCGCCUGGGGAGUACGGCCGCAAGGCUAAAACUCAAAGGAAUUGACGGGGGCCCGCACAAGCGGCGGAGCAUGCGGAUUAAUUCGAUGCAACGCGAAGAACCUUACCAAGGCUUGACAUGCAUUAGAUCGCGUCAGAGAUGGCGUUUCCCUUCGGGGCUGGUGUACAGGUGGUGCAUGGUUGUCGUCAGCUCGUGUCGUGAGAUGUUGGGUUAAGUCCCGCAACGAGCGCAACCCUCGUUCUAUGUUGCCAGCGGUUCGGCCGGGGACUCAUAGGAGACUGCCGGGGUCAACUCGGAGGAAGGUGGGGAUGACGUCAAAUCAUCAUGCCCCUUAUGUCUUGGGCUUCACGCAUGCUACAAUGGCCGGUACAGAGGGUUGCGAUACUGUGAGGUGGAGCUAAUCCCUUAAAGCCGGUCUCAGUUCGGAUUGGGGUCUGCAACUCGACCCCAUGAAGUCGGAGUCGCUAGUAAUCGCAGAUCAGCAACGCUGCGGUGAAUACGUUCCCGGGCCUUGUACACACCGCCCGUCAAGUCACGAAAGUUGGUAACACCCGAAGCCGGUGGCCUAACCCUUGUGGGGGGAGCCGUCGAAGGUGGGAUUGGCGAUUG
This 1431-nucleotide ribosomal RNA is filed under the name Arthrobacter sp. B10. RNAcentral describes it as "16S ribosomal RNA". It matches the Rfam family "Bacterial small subunit ribosomal RNA". Lineage: Bacteria; Bacillati; Actinomycetota; Actinomycetes; Micrococcales; Micrococcaceae. The record is from RNAcentral.